UUUUGAAACUCUGGAGAGCGGCGUUAACAGCGCCCACCGAUGGGGCAAAUCUCUCAGGUAUCGAGGACAGAGGGGUGAAA
Non-coding RNA from Dechloromonas aromatica RCB, 80 nucleotides. The record is from Rfam. NCBI's taxonomy places the organism in Bacteria, Pseudomonadati, Pseudomonadota, Betaproteobacteria, Rhodocyclales, Azonexaceae.